This 253-nucleotide ribosomal RNA is filed under the name uncultured bacterium. RNAcentral's name for it is "partial 16S ribosomal RNA". It matches the Rfam family "Bacterial small subunit ribosomal RNA", at positions 524 to 776 of the family's 1533-position model. The record is from RNAcentral.
UACGUAGGGGGCUAGCGUUGUCCGGAAUCAUUGGGCGUAAAGCGCGUGUAGGCGGCCCGGUAAGUCCGCUGUGAAAGUCGGGGGCUCAACCCUCGGAUGCCGGUGGAUACUGUCGGGCUAGAGUGCGGAAGAGGCGAGUGGAAUUCCUGGUGUAGCGGUGAAAUGCGCAGAUAUUGGGAAGAACACCAGUGGCGAAGGCGGUUCUCUGGGACGGUACUGACGCUGAGACGCGAAAGCGUGGGGAGCGAACAGG